This 279-nucleotide ribosomal RNA is filed under the name uncultured bacterium. RNAcentral's name for it is "partial 16S ribosomal RNA". It matches the Rfam family "Bacterial small subunit ribosomal RNA", at positions 506 to 784 of the family's 1533-position model. The record is from RNAcentral.
UGCCAGCCGCCGCGGUAAUACGGAGGGUGCAAGCGUUAUCCGGAAUCACUGGGUUUAAAGCGCACGUAGGUGGCUUGGUAAGUCGGAUGUGAAAGCCCUGGGCUCAACCUGGGAAUUGCAUUCGAUACUGCUUAGCUAGAGUAUGAGAGAGGGUAGUGGAAUUCCGGGUGUAGCGGUGAAAUGCGUAGAUAUCCGGAGGAACAUCAGUGGCGAAGGCGGCUGCCUGGCUCAAUACUGACACUGAGGUGCGAAAGCGUGGGGAGCAAACAGGAUUAGAUA